RNAcentral lists this ribosomal RNA (253 nucleotides) under uncultured bacterium. Its description in RNAcentral is "partial 16S ribosomal RNA". It matches the Rfam family "Bacterial small subunit ribosomal RNA", at positions 524 to 776 of the family's 1533-position model. The record is from RNAcentral.
UACGUAGGGUGCGAGCGUUAAUCGGAAUUACUGGGCGUAAAGCGUGCGCAGGCGGUUUUGUAAGCCAGAUGUGAAAUCCCCGGGCUUAACCUGGGAAUGGCAUUUGGGACUGCAAGGCUCGAGUGCGGCAGAGGAGACUGGAAUUCCUGGUGUAGCAGUGAAAUGCGUAGAUAUCAGGAGGAACACCGAUGGCGAAGGCGGGUCUCUGGGCCGUAACUGACGCUGAGGAGCGAAAGCGUGGGGAGCGAACAGG